This 253-nucleotide ribosomal RNA is filed under the name uncultured bacterium. RNAcentral describes it as "partial 16S ribosomal RNA". It matches the Rfam family "Bacterial small subunit ribosomal RNA", at positions 524 to 776 of the family's 1533-position model. The record is from RNAcentral.
UACGUAGGGUGCAAGCGUUGUCCGGAUUUAUUGGGCGUAAAGAGCUCGUAGGCGGUUUGUCGCGUCGGAUGUGAAAACCCAGGGCUCAACCCUGGGCCUGCAUUCGAUACGGGCAGACUAGAGUAUGGCAGGGGAGACUGGAAUUCCUGGUGUAGCGGUGGAAUGCGCAGAUAUCAGGAGGAACACCGGUGGCGAAGGCGGGUCUCUGGGCAGUAACUGACGCUGAGGAGCGAAAGCGUGGGGAGCGAACAGG